This 28-nucleotide non-coding RNA is filed under the name Bombyx mori (domestic silkworm). Lineage: Eukaryota; Metazoa; Arthropoda; Insecta; Lepidoptera; Bombycidae. The record is from RNAcentral.
UAGAAUGGAAAGGAAACUUGGUGGUGGU